Molecule: non-coding RNA, 117 nt
Filed under: Lactobacillus jensenii
Lineage: Bacteria; Bacillati; Bacillota; Bacilli; Lactobacillales; Lactobacillaceae
Description: FMN sequence
Rfam family: FMN riboswitch aptamer (RFN element)
About the family: The RFN element is a highly conserved domain that is found frequently in the 5'-untranslated regions of prokaryotic mRNAs that encode for flavin mononucleotide (FMN) biosynthesis and transport proteins.
Source: RNAcentral
AAUGUUCUUCGGGGCAGGGUGAAAUUCCCGACCGGCGGUAAAGUCCGCGACCCACGCAAGUGGUUGAAUCCUAAUUAAAGGUACCGAUAGUUAGAGUCUAGAUGGGAGAAGAUUAAU